Long non-coding RNA from Colius striatus (speckled mousebird), 491 nucleotides. RefSeq lists it as uncharacterized. NCBI's taxonomy places the organism in Eukaryota, Metazoa, Chordata, Aves, Coliiformes, Coliidae. The transcript is spliced from 4 exons. The record is from RefSeq and is a predicted model, not a curated record.
UUGCUGAAGGAAUUAUUGGGUAUUUUAAGGAACCUGGUAAUAAGAUUGCUGUUAAAAAUGUGGAGAAGCAGGCAUUUCAUGGUUUAUGUCAGAAAACAGUUGUUCACAGGGCUCAGGUGCUAGAUAUUUCCCCAAAAGAGAAGGAAAAUAUGUUCUGUAGUGUCAAAAUUAACUAUAUAGAUGAAGGCAGAACAUGUCAAGUCCAAAGUUACCAGCUGCUUCACUCACCUGCCAAGUUUCAGUGUCUGCCACCUCAGGCUGGGGACUUUGUAGAGUGACACCCAUUGGUAAUGAACUGGAGUGGAACCCAAAGGUAACUAAUUCUAUUCAUCAAACACUUAAAGGAGAACUACACAAAGUAAAAGUAGUACUGCCCUUGGGAAACACAACUGGGAUUGACCCAAUUGGAGUUAACUACGAGUUCCUUACGACACUAUUAUGAUGAAAAAGAUGGCAAUAUCUGGAGAAGAAUUAAACAUGGGAACGUGCCU